GGAUUGUUAUGGAGAAUAUAGAAUUGUUCAAGUAGGUUCAACUGUUCAACACAUAAAAUCACCAUGUGCACAGUCUAACGAACAAUUCAUGGUAAUAACUGAGAAAACCUAGGAUUAUUCUCAUGCAGAAUUUACAGGGAGGGGAUGAUUUUCACAGGUGCAUGUGAGUCAGGGAUGGCUUUGUGCAAGAAGUGUUUUUGACUGCUGGGAAUUGUCACUCACUUCUCAUCUGCUGCUCUCAUUCUUAGUGGCUGCUCGUUCACAGCAAUUCCAGGUUGUGUAAAGACUGUUUCAGAUAAGAUGCUAAAUAUAAAGGUACAAAUGAAAUAAUGGCGAGCAAUAACUCACCCAUGACCUGGACACAGGGAACAUAGCAGUUCUGUCUUUUCCGGCAUGCUCAGCCCUGGCAUAGCUUUAAUCUCUCAUUUGAGUUUACCAUGGGCUCUCUUUUUAGGUCAAAUUUCUCCUUUUUUACUAGCUAUCCACAAUGUCUCUAAUAUUUCUAGCUCUGUAUCAAGACAGACAUGAGCCAGAAUUCUGAUUCUGUUACUUUUUUUCUAUGACCAGACAUGUACAUUACAAAUUGUAUUUUGGCAACAGCAGGCAGAAGACAACAGGGGAGGCAGAGAUCUGGAGAGAGAAAGAACAAUUUUGAGAUCAUUACCAAACCCUAGAUAAGAACUUAAGAAGACUUAACGUAGACAUGAAGAGUAAAGUGGAGAUUGACCCAAUAAAUAUUGAUGAGGAGCCUACCUACGUUUGGUGAACACUUAGAUGUGAAGUGAGCCCAGUGAGGGUGUAGGAGCUCCACAGGCAUCAGGAACCUCCAUGCUUGCGACGUGCAGGCUGGGAGCUGGGAGCAUACAGCUUCCACUUUGCAGUCCAAGGGGGUAAGAAUUGUUCCAUCUCUGCCACCGUGUGUGUGUGUGUGUGUGUGUGUGUGUGAGUUUGGGGACAACAAUGUCUGGGCCAACAGCCCUACACCCUACCCUCAUAUCAACUUGAAUCACACUUUUGGAGGAAGCUGUAAGAGAAGCCAAGUGUUUAGGGUGCAUUACAACUACCCAGUGAGAAAGAUGAUUCUCAAACCAAAUGGUGCUUAAAUUCUCUUUGAUUUCAGCUGUAAUGUUAUUUUCUGUAAGUUGGGGUAGAAAUGGAAAGAUCUGGGAAGAAGUACAGAACUGGCAGCGCAUUACUGUAAACUGGAAGUGCUCCUAAAACAGUUAUAAGUAAUAUUGUUUCAAUCAUUAAAUUACCAUUGAAGAUAUAAUCACUUAUAUAUCUUAAUUUUUUUGAUAUAUGCUUUCUAUCAUUUCACAGUUCUUAUGCUGCCCUCAUUAUCAUUUGAAAAUGCAAUUUUCAAACUCAUAAUUAGUAUACUACAUAUUCCACAAGUAAAAUUAUAAUCUGCCAAUUUUCUAUUUGCAAAAAUCAAUUUCAUACCUAUUGAAACACCGGAAUAAACCAAGACCUCUUAUCUGUAGCUGUAUCCUGUUGUAUAUCCUAAGAUUGAGUGCUACUCUUCUAGAAUUUUAUGGCUUUGUUGUUUUUUGAAAAACAAAUCAAAUUUAGUGCUUUGAGCCAUUUCCUGUAUGAGGGAUUAUGAAGUGUGAAAAAGAAAAUAGGUUUAGUGAAUCUCUACCGUGAGAACCCAGCACACUUGGGGAAGUAGCUGAGACACAUAAGCUUAGAUAUUUCAAGGUAGAUGUAUUUGGAAAUUAUAGGGAAGUUUUAAGUCUUAGCUGGCAGAGAUAAUAACCAGACAGGUCUCUUGUAACAUUUUUUUCUGGGAGAUAAGAAUGUUAAUGAGGUCAGAGAACAGUUCAACAAUGGCAUAAUAAGUCAUGCAGAUUUUACAGCGAAGCAAAGAUGAAAAGGAGUGGGAGAAAGGAAAUAAGAUGUUAACCUCUAGGUUUGAAAGGACUUCACCAUUACUCACACUGGGGUUACCCAUUUUAGCGUAAAUAGCAGGACCAAUAGCACUAGAUUCUGCAGCUUAUAUUCUAUCAGUACUGGUAUUAAAUUACCGCAUUUUAAACGU
This is a long non-coding RNA of Papio anubis (olive baboon), 2041 nucleotides long. The record is from Ensembl. NCBI's taxonomy places the organism in Eukaryota, Metazoa, Chordata, Mammalia, Primates, Cercopithecidae.